RNAcentral lists this ribosomal RNA (468 nucleotides) under uncultured bacterium. RNAcentral describes it as "partial 16S ribosomal RNA". It matches the Rfam family "Bacterial small subunit ribosomal RNA", at positions 28 to 507 of the family's 1533-position model. The record is from RNAcentral.
GAUGAACGCUGGCGGCGUGCUUAACACAUGCAAGUCGAACGGUGAAGGCGGAGCUUGCUCUGCUGGAUCAGUGGCGAACGGGUGAGUAACACGUGAGCAAUCUGCCCCUGACUCUGGGAUAAGCGCUGGAAACGGCGUCUAAUACUGGAUACGAGCUGCGAAGGCAUCUUCAGCAGCUGGAAAGAAUUUCGGUCAGGGAUGAGCUCGCGGCCUAUCAGCUUGUUGGUGAGGUAAUGGCUCACCAAGGCGUCGACGGGUAGCCGGCCUGAGAGGGUGACCGGCCACACUGGGACUGAGACACGGCCCAGACUCCUACGGGAGGCAGCAGUGGGGAAUAUUGCACAAUGGGCGAAAGCCUGAUGCAGCAACGCCGCGUGAGGGACGACGGCCCUCGGGUUGUAAACCUCUUUUAGCAGGGAAGAAGCGAAAGCGACGGUACCUGCAGAAAAAGCGCCGGCUAACUACGUG